GGAGGGGUGGCAGAGCGGUCUAUCGCGCCGGUCUUGAAAACCGGAGUGUCGCAAGGCACCGUGGGUUCGAAUCCCACCCCCUCCG
This 85-nucleotide transfer RNA is filed under the name Patescibacteria group bacterium. Its description in RNAcentral is "tRNA-Ser". It matches the Rfam family "tRNA". From Rfam's summary of the family: Transfer RNA (tRNA) molecules are approximately 80 nucleotides in length. The record is from RNAcentral.